This 72-nucleotide transfer RNA is filed under the name Chloroflexus aurantiacus J-10-fl. It matches the Rfam family "tRNA". Rfam says of the family: Transfer RNA (tRNA) molecules are approximately 80 nucleotides in length. The record is from Rfam by way of RNAcentral. Lineage: Bacteria; Bacillati; Chloroflexota; Chloroflexia; Chloroflexales; Chloroflexaceae.
GGGCCGGUAGCUCAGAGGUAGAGCACCUGACUUUUAAUCAGAGGGUCGUGGGUUCGAUCCCCACCCGGCUCA